RNAcentral lists this ribosomal RNA (354 nucleotides) under Clistoabdominalis sp. CNC Diptera 21525. RNAcentral describes it as "partial 12S ribosomal RNA". Lineage: Eukaryota; Metazoa; Arthropoda; Insecta; Diptera; Pipunculidae. The record is from RNAcentral.
UAAAAAUUUAAUUUAAAAUAUUGAAGUAGUAUUAGUUAAGAUCUUGAAAUUUAAAAAAUUUGGCGGUAUUUUAGUCUAUUCAGAGGAACCUGUUUUGUAAUCGAUAGUCCACGAUGUAUCUCACUUAAACUUGUUUAUUAGUUUAUAUAUCGUUGUUAUAGAAUAUUUUUUUAGAAUAUUAAUAUUUUUAAUUUUUAAGUAAGAAAUAUAUCAGAUCAAGAUGUAGCUUAUGUUUAAGAUUAUGAUGGGUUACAAUUAUUUAAUUAUUGGAUAUAAUAAUGUAAUAAAUUAUUGAAAUUGGAUUUGAUAGUAAAUUUAUAAAGAUUAUUAAAUUGAUUCUAGCUCUAAAAUAUG